AUUGAACGCUGGCGGAAUGCUUUACACAUGCAAGUCGAACGGCAGCACGGGGGCAGCCCUGGUGGCGAGUGGCGAACGGGUGAGUAAUACAUCGGAACGUGCCCGGUCUUUGGGGAUAACGUAGCGAAAGUUACGCUAAUACCGCAUACGAUCUGAGGAUGAAAGCGGGGGACCUUCGGGCCUCGCCCGAUCGGAGCGGCCGAUUUCAGAUUAGGUAGUUGGUGGGGUAAAGGCCUACCAAGCCGACGAUCUGUAGCUGGUCUGAGAGGACGACCAGCCACACUGGGACCGAGACACGGCCCAGACUCCUACGGGAGGCAGCAGUGGGGAAUUUUGGACAAUGGGCGCAAGCCUGAUCCAGCCAUUCCGCGUGCAGGACGAAGGCCUUCGGGUUGUAAACUGCUUUUGUACGGAACGAAAAGGCUCUGGCUAAUACCUGGGGCUCAUGACGGUACCGUAAGAAUAAGCACCGGCUAACUACGUG
RNAcentral lists this ribosomal RNA (484 nucleotides) under uncultured bacterium. Its description in RNAcentral is "partial 16S ribosomal RNA". It matches the Rfam family "Bacterial small subunit ribosomal RNA", at positions 30 to 507 of the family's 1533-position model. The record is from RNAcentral.